Podarcis raffonei (Aeolian wall lizard) is the source of this 107-nucleotide small nuclear RNA. The record is from RefSeq and is a predicted model, not a curated record. Lineage: Eukaryota; Metazoa; Chordata; Lepidosauria; Squamata; Lacertidae.
GUGAUCCCUUUGACAGCACAUGUACUAAAAUUGGAAUGAUACAGGGAAGAUUAGCAUGGCCCCAACUCAAGGAUGACAUGUAAAUGUGUGAAGCGUUCCCUAUUUUU